AAUUAGAUCGCUGAAGGAGGAGGCUUGCUUUCUCCUGGAUGAGGUUGCGAACGGGUGAGUAAACGCGUAGGUAACCUGCCUGGUAGCGGGGGAUAACCUAUUGGAAACGAUAGCUAAUACCGCAUAAGAGUAGAUGUUGCAUGACAUUUGCUUAAAAGGUGCAAUUGCAUCACUACCAGAUGGACCUGCGUUGUAUUAGCUAGUUGGUGAGGUAACGGCUCACCAAGGCGACGAUACAUAGCCGACCUGAGAGGGUGAUCGGCCACACUGGGACUGAGACACGGCCCAGACUCCUACGGGAGGCAGCAGUAGGGAAUCUUCCGGCAAUGGACGGAACUCUGACCGAGCAACGCCGCGUGAGUGAAGAAGGUUUUCGGAUCGUAAAGCUCUGUUGUAAGAGAAGAACGAGUGUGAGAGUGGAUUUUCACACU
RNAcentral lists this ribosomal RNA (431 nucleotides) under Streptococcus mitis. RNAcentral's name for it is "bacterial SSU rRNA". It matches the Rfam family "Bacterial small subunit ribosomal RNA", at positions 59 to 470 of the family's 1533-position model. Lineage: Bacteria; Bacillati; Bacillota; Bacilli; Lactobacillales; Streptococcaceae. The record is from RNAcentral.